This 297-nucleotide small RNA is filed under the name Tumebacillus flagellatus. RNAcentral's name for it is "BsrG". It matches the Rfam family "BsrG". From Rfam's summary of the family: bsrE, bsrG and bsrH pair through intermolecular interactions with antisense sRNAs. SR4 interaction with the 3'UTR of bsrG RNA promotes bsrG degradation and inhibits its translation. The record is from Rfam by way of RNAcentral. Lineage: Bacteria; Bacillati; Bacillota; Bacilli; Caryophanales; Alicyclobacillaceae.
CACAAUUGAAUAGGCUCCUCAAGGGUGAUCGGCUCAUCCCCUGUAGAAAGGGGGUGUUGCCAUGUCUGCACAUGAAGUCAUUUCGCUCAUGCUCCAGUUUGGGCUGUUUUUGAUCGCAGCUCUUACUUUAGUCGUGACGAUCAUGAAGCAUAUGUUAGACAACCAAAAUAAAAAGAAAUAGAUCGCCCUUAGAGUUUGGCAGCUCGGGCGAUCUAUUUCGUCUAACAAAACCAUAUUGAGCCGACACCCUUGAAGGGUAUCAGUUGUGCAACGACCGUAGGUGUUCCCGCACCUGCG